AGCGAACGCUGGCGGCAGGCCUAACACAUGCAAGUCGAACGAACCUUUCGGGGUUAGUGGCGGACGGGUGAGUAACACGUGGGAACGUGCCUUUAGGUUCGGAAUCACUCAGGGAAACUUGUGCUAAUACCGAAUGUGCCCUUAGGGGGAAAGAUUACUCGCCUUUAGAGCGGCCCGCGUCUGAUUAGCUAGUUGGUUGAGGUAAUGGCUCACCAAGGCGACGAUCAGUAGCUGGUCUGAGAGGAUGAUCAGCCACAUUGGGACUGAGACACGGCCCAAACUCCUACGGGAGGCAGCAGUGGGGAAUCUUGCGCAAUGGGCGAAAGCCUGACGCAGCCAUGCCGCGUGAAUGAUGAAGGUCUUAGGAUUGUAAAAUUCUUUCACCGGGGACGAUAAUGACGGUACCCGGAGAAGAAGCCCCGGCUAACUUCGUG
RNAcentral lists this ribosomal RNA (434 nucleotides) under uncultured bacterium. RNAcentral's name for it is "partial 16S ribosomal RNA". It matches the Rfam family "Bacterial small subunit ribosomal RNA", at positions 29 to 507 of the family's 1533-position model. The record is from RNAcentral.